RNAcentral lists this signal recognition particle RNA (305 nucleotides) under Phascolarctos cinereus (koala). Its description in RNAcentral is "Metazoan signal recognition particle RNA (ENSPCIG00000009631.2)". It matches the Rfam family "Metazoan signal recognition particle RNA". From Rfam's summary of the family: The signal recognition particle (SRP) is a universally conserved ribonucleoprotein. The record is from RNAcentral. Lineage: Eukaryota; Metazoa; Chordata; Mammalia; Diprotodontia; Phascolarctidae.
GCUCCAUGUAGUGACACAUGCCUGCAAGUCCCUACUACCUAGGGAAACUGAGGCUGAUGGAUCUUUUGAGCUCAGGAAUUCUGAGCUACAGAAGGGCUAAAGCUGUUUUGGGUGUCCACGUUAAAUCUGGCAUCAACAUGGUGAGUCUCAGGAGUAGGGGAACCACAAGAGUGCCUAUUGAGAGGUGAAUUGGUCCAGGUUGGAAACAGAGCAGGUCAAAACUCCCAAGCUUAUCAGCUGUGGGAUUGGGCCUGCGAGUGGCCACUGCACUUUCAGCUUGGGCAAGAUGGGGAGAGCCAGUCUCC